Molecule: long non-coding RNA, 899 nt
Organism: Vidua chalybeata
Lineage: Eukaryota; Metazoa; Chordata; Aves; Passeriformes; Viduidae
Exons: 8
Source: RefSeq, a predicted model, not a curated record
UGUGCAGGUCUGUAUAAAAAAAUUCCAAAUGGUCGUUCCUUUUGAUCAGCUACCAUUGAGCAGGAUGGGCUUUGAAGGAUAUUGUUCAACCAUGCAAAUUUUUUGUCUGAGAAGUGGACAGACUUCAAGAGCUGUUAACUCUUAAAUCGACCGUGCUUUCUCCAUUUGCCACCCUCUCGACUGAGCCGGUGCUCACAGCAAUGUUCUGGAGGAUCACACAGAAAACAAAUACAUUUUGUGGGCCAGGCAGAGGACACCUGGCUGCAUAAGGGAGACAUAAUAGAAAAGAAUUGCAAAGAUCAUGUUUUACAGUCACUGGAGUAGAGAGCAAUAUUCUGCUCACAUCAGACAUCAGCAGUCUUCAUCUCUCCUGGGGCUAAAGAUGAUGAGCUCAUCAGAUCUUCAUAACAAGUGUGGAGAAUAGCCAAGAGGAAGAAAGGAAAGAGGAAUUGCCAGAGAACAGAAGUCUGAACAAGAUCUGGACAAGCAUUCAAAAAUCAGAAGCUUGUCCAAAUUAUUCAGGCCUCAGAAGUAGGAAGAACUGAGCAGAAUGGAGGGUACAGAGCAGAGAACAAACUGCAGCUACCAAAGGAAAUAUGGAUCUCCCAUGACCAGUUCAUCAGUGACAGUCCAGAUCAUACACUGUGCACAACUGCAGGAGCACAAGCAGAAGAACCAGCUGUGGAGCGUGCUGGAGUGUACAGAGCUCUGGACCCCAUCCCUCCUUGAGGGCUGGGUAAAAAUGGACAGUGGGAGAAUUGGAAGGCUGGGACAUCAAAAGUGCCAAAGGACAAGGACAUUUUUAUUCUAAGGGAAUUGCCAGUAUCCAUUUAUUUCUUGGCAGAGUAAUUAGGCCGCUCAGAGCUCUGUGCUGCCAUGGCUACACUGCUUCAGGUACC